CCUACGGGAGGCAGCAGUGAGGAAUAUUGGUCAAUGGACGAGAGUCUGAACCAGCCAAGUCGCGUGAAGGAUGACUGCCCUAUGGGUUGUAAACUUCUUUUAUCAAGGAAUAAAACGAGGCACGUGUGCCUAUUUGCAUGUACUUUAUGAAUAAGGAUCGGCUAACUCCGUGCCAGCAGCCGCGGUAAUACGGAGGAUACGAGCGUUAUCCGGAUUUAUUGGGUUUAAAGGGAGCGUAGAUGGGUUGUUAAGUCAGUUGUGAAAGGUUGCGGCUCAACCGUGAAAUUGCAAUUGAUACUGGCAGUCUAGAGUGCAGUGGAGGUAGGCGGAAUGCGUGGUGUAGCGGUGAAAUGCUUAGAUAUCACGAAGAACCCCGAUUGCGAAGGCAGCUUACUAAACUGUAACUGACGUUGAUGCUCGAAAGUGUGGGUAUCAAACAGGAUUAGAUACCCCGGUAGUC
RNAcentral lists this ribosomal RNA (460 nucleotides) under uncultured bacterium. RNAcentral's name for it is "partial 16S ribosomal RNA". It matches the Rfam family "Bacterial small subunit ribosomal RNA", at positions 338 to 795 of the family's 1533-position model. The record is from RNAcentral.